RNAcentral lists this ribosomal RNA (500 nucleotides) under uncultured bacterium. Its description in RNAcentral is "partial 16S ribosomal RNA". It matches the Rfam family "Bacterial small subunit ribosomal RNA", at positions 30 to 523 of the family's 1533-position model. The record is from RNAcentral.
AUUGAACGCUGGCGGCAUGCCUUACACAUGCAAGUCGAACGGCAGCACGGGAGCAAUCCUGGUGGCGAGUGGCGAACGGGUGAGUAAAGUAUCGGAACGUGCCCAGUCGUGGGGGAUAACGUAGCGAAAGUUACGCUAAUACCGCAUACGAUCUAUGGAUGAAAGCGGGGGAUCGCAAGAACCUGCGCGAUUGGCGCGGCCGAUAUCAGAUUAGGUAGUUGGUGGGGUAAAGGCUCACCAAGCCGACGAUCUGUAGCUGGUCUGAGAGGACGACCAGCCACGCUGGGACUGAGACACGGCCCAGACUCCUACGGGAGGCAGCAGUGGGGAAUUUUGGACAAUGGGCGAAAGCCUGAUCCAGCCAUGCCGCGUGCAGGAUGAAGGCCUUCGGGUUGUAAACUGCUUUUGUACGGAACGAAAAGGUUUGGCCUAAUAAGCUGAGCUCAUGACGGUACCGUAAGAAUAAGCACCGGCUAACUACGUGCCAGCCGCCGCCGUAA